AAUGUUUGGCUUUAGCUUAUUUCAUUAAUAACCCUUUCUUAAUAUAUGGGAUUAUAAUAAAUUUAAAAUCCAUAACCAGUAUUGAAGAUUAAUUUAUAACAGAAAUUUUGAUUUAGCAAUAGGGGCUAUCCCUGGCAAAGUUUGUGCCAGCCGCAGCGGUUAAACAAACAGGUAAAUUUAUGAAUUAUGGUUAAAAUUUUAGUUAAUUAAGCCAUAAAUUUUUUCUUUUUAUGAUGAGGUAGAAUUCUUCCAUAAAAAAGAAAUAUUUAAAUUUUUACUCAUUACUAAUUUGUUAUUUUAUAAAACUAGGAUUAGAUACCCUACUAUUUAUAACAUAUAAAUUUGAUGACCAGAGAAUUAUUAUAAACUCAAAAAGCUUGGCGGUAUUCUAAACCACUUAGGGGAACCUGUCACAUAAUUGAUAGCCCGCAAAAUACCUUUCUUUACCUCAGUUUGUAUACCGUCGCCGUCAGAUAAUCUCCAAAAAUACAAAAACUUCCUUUAAUAUAUAUUUAUUCACGUCAGAUCAAGGUGCAGCACAUGAUAAAGUGUCAGAUGGGUUACAGUUUUCAAUUUUAAGCCAAAUUAUUUGUGCAAACACUAUAAAAAAGAUGGACUUAAAAGUAAUUUUAUAAAGAAAGGUAAAAUGACUUAGGCACUGGAAUGCGCACACAUCGCCCGUCGCUCUCGCUGAAAAUUGAGAUAAGUCGUAACACAGUAAGAAAAGCGGAAGCUUUCCUUGGAUGA
This 747-nucleotide non-coding RNA is filed under the name Georissa bangueyensis. Lineage: Eukaryota; Metazoa; Mollusca; Gastropoda; Cycloneritida; Hydrocenidae. The record is from RNAcentral.